Molecule: small nucleolar RNA, 130 nt
Filed under: Castor canadensis (American beaver)
Lineage: Eukaryota; Metazoa; Chordata; Mammalia; Rodentia; Castoridae
Source: RNAcentral
CACCUUAUAAAAGCACUCAGUAGGCCUUUUGCUAGUGACCCAUUGAGUUGUCAAGAAGGGACAGAGUGCCCGCUUUUGGGGGAAGUGCAGCAUGUGUUGUUGUUUUGCUUCAGUCAGUGGUGAUUCCUAA